Molecule: transfer RNA, 71 nt
Filed under: Marmota monax (woodchuck)
Lineage: Eukaryota; Metazoa; Chordata; Mammalia; Rodentia; Sciuridae
Description: tRNA.Gly
Rfam family: tRNA
About the family: Transfer RNA (tRNA) molecules are approximately 80 nucleotides in length. Their secondary structure includes four short double-helical elements and three loops (D, anti-codon, and T loops).
Source: RNAcentral
GGGGUUGUAGCUCAGUGGUAGAGCACUUGCCUACCACGCAGGAGGCACUGGGUUCAAUCCACAGCACCACA